GGGGAAUAUUGGACAAUGGGCGCAAGCCUGAUCCAGCCAUGCCGCGUGGGUGAAGAAGGCCUUCGGGUUGUAAAGCCCUUUUGUUGGGAAAGAAAAGCAGCCGGCCAAUACCCGGUUGUUCUGACGGUACCCAAAGAAUAAGCACCGGCUAACUUCGUGCCAGCAGCCGCGGUAAUACGAAGGGUGCAAGCGUUACUCGGAAUUACUGGGCGUAAAGCGUGCGUAGGUGGUGGUUUAAGUCCGUUGUGAAAGCCCUGGGCUCAACCUGGGAACUGCAGUGGAUACUGGAUCACUAGGGUGGGGGAGGAGGUAGUGGGAUUCCCCGUGUAGCAGUGAAAUGCGGAGGGGACGGGAGGAACAACAGUGGGGGAGGCGACUGCCUGGGCCAACACUGACACUGAGGCACGAAAGCGUGGGGAGCAAACA
This 426-nucleotide ribosomal RNA is filed under the name uncultured Lysobacteraceae bacterium. RNAcentral describes it as "bacterial SSU rRNA". It matches the Rfam family "Bacterial small subunit ribosomal RNA", at positions 356 to 774 of the family's 1533-position model. The record is from RNAcentral. Lineage: Bacteria; Pseudomonadati; Pseudomonadota; Gammaproteobacteria; Lysobacterales; Lysobacteraceae.